CUGAACUUAAGCAUAUCAUA
This 20-nucleotide ribosomal RNA is filed under the name Rhizoctonia solani. RNAcentral describes it as "partial 28S ribosomal RNA". The record is from RNAcentral. Lineage: Eukaryota; Fungi; Basidiomycota; Agaricomycetes; Cantharellales; Ceratobasidiaceae.